RNAcentral lists this unclassified non-coding RNA (200 nucleotides) under Helotiales sp. RNAcentral describes it as "partial internal transcribed spacer 2". The record is from RNAcentral. Lineage: Eukaryota; Fungi; Ascomycota; Leotiomycetes; Helotiales.
UUAAGUUCAGCGGGUAUCCCUACCUGAUCCGAGGUCAACCUGUAAAAAUUGGGGGUUGUUGGCAAGUCACUUGCAGGACCCUAUAGCGAGAAAAUUACUACGCGUAGAGCCUACAGGCACCGCCACUGGUUUUAGGAGCCGCUGAUCGCGAACCCCAAUACCAAGCGUGAGCUUGAGUGGUUAUAAUGACGCUCGAACAG